UCAAACACCACUUGUCAGUUUUUU
RNAcentral lists this small nuclear RNA (24 nucleotides) under Arabidopsis thaliana (thale cress). Its description in RNAcentral is "snRNA_09629". The record is from RNAcentral. Lineage: Eukaryota; Viridiplantae; Streptophyta; Magnoliopsida; Brassicales; Brassicaceae.